RNAcentral lists this ribosomal RNA (253 nucleotides) under uncultured bacterium. Its description in RNAcentral is "partial 16S ribosomal RNA". It matches the Rfam family "Bacterial small subunit ribosomal RNA", at positions 524 to 776 of the family's 1533-position model. The record is from RNAcentral.
UGCGUAGGGGGCAAGCGUUGUCCGGAAUUAUUGGGCGUAAAGAGCGCGUAGGCGGUCCGGUAAGUCAGCUGUGAAAGUCAAGGGCUCAACCCUUGAAAGCCGGUUGAUACUGUCGGGCUAGAGUCCGGAAGAGGCGAGUGGAAUUCCCGGUGUAGCGGUGAAAUGCGCAGAUAUCGGGAGGAACACCGGUGGCGAAGGCGGCAUCCUGGACCAAUUCUGACGCUGAGGAGCGAAAGCCAGGGGAGCAAACGGG